CAGACCUCUAAUCGGAAAAGGACUACCCGCUGAGUUUAAGCAUAUCAAUAAGCGGAGGA
Molecule: ribosomal RNA, 59 nt
Filed under: Anomodontella longifolia
Lineage: Eukaryota; Viridiplantae; Streptophyta; Bryopsida; Hypnales; Anomodontaceae
Also listed under: 1 other name
Description: Anomodon longifolius partial 25S ribosomal RNA
Source: RNAcentral